GACGAACGCUGGCGGCGUGCUUAAUACAUGCAAGUCAACUGAACUUAGGGUAGUAAUAUUUUAAGGGAGGUGGCGCACGGGUGAGUAACACGUAGGUAAUUUGCCUUUAGGUCAGACAUAAUUUCGCGAAAGCGGGACUAAAAUCAGAUGAUGCAGCGGCUUGACAUCGAGACAGUUGUUAAACCUUCGGGGCCUAAAGAUGAGCCUGCGUUUGAUUAGGUAGUUGGCGGAGUAAAAGCCCCCCCAGCCUGCGAUCAGUAGCUGGUUUGAGAGGAUGAUCAGCCCCCCUGGAACUGAGACACGGUCAAGACUCCUACGGGAGGCAGCAGUAAGGAAUAUUGCUCAAUGGCCGAAAGGCUGAAGCAGCAACGCCGCGUGGAGGAUGAAAUACUUUUGUAUGUAAACUCCUGUAAGAGGGGAAAAAUAUGCAGUUAAUACUGUAUUGAUUGUACCCUCAGAGUAAGCACCGGCUAACUACGUG
Molecule: ribosomal RNA, 481 nt
Filed under: uncultured bacterium
Lineage: Bacteria
Description: bacterial SSU rRNA
Rfam family: Bacterial small subunit ribosomal RNA
Source: RNAcentral